CGUCCACAUCAAGACUCCGCCUGCCAUCUACGUCAGAUUUGGGCGCGACGUGCUCUACGUCAGCCAUGCCCCGCCCCUUGCGCUGUCAGGAUUGAGGCUUCCCCCGCCCCUCCGUGGAGUCUCCUAAGUGCUUCGCCAUGCUCCAUCCGUAAUCCGGCCACUUUGGUCCUCAAGGUUUUAGACGCGAAACUCCAUCGCUGUAGUUUGCUAUUUCCGUACCUCUCGCAGAGUCCGUCCCUGCCUUGGAACACGCGUACUGUUUUCUUUCUUCGCCUGCCGUCCCACGGAAGAGGAGGUGAAGGACCACAGUCUCAGGCAUCUUGGUUUCGUGCACUGAGGCCAAGCAGUGGGUGAAUCUGAGAUCUGUCUUCAUCACUCACCCUGGGCUGAGAGUAAGACUGAUAAAGGACUCUAGAGCUGUCGGACCGCGACAGGAAGACUGAGUCUUCACCUGAAACUCCCGUGAUCGCCUGGUGCUGCCCACCCCCAGUCUGAACACGGAGUCCACUUUUCUCAGCUACAGUGCUGUUGGCCACCGACGGUCCCAGCCUUGAGGGGUUGGCUGGUGCCAAAGCAGUCAUCCAUGGGAGGACUUCUGGUAGAAAGAAUGGUACUGUAAAAGCCCUCUCUAUAGUCAGGACCAGCUGGAUGGGCUGAAAGGAUGUGAGAGUGGUAAAAGGCUGAGCUUUACAGAGACUCCUAGAGUUUUGUCCUGAGAGCAGUAGAGGGCUCUGAAGGUUCGAAGCCACAGACUGGGUCAGAUUUGCCAUCAGACCUGGGUUUCACAAGGCAUUCUUUAACUAUGGGGCUGGGAGCACAGCCUAGAUGGUGUGGACUAAGGGAUCUUGCUUAAUAGUUCCCCAGAAUUGCUUGGAACUUGUCAUCACUUUGCCUCAGCUUCCUGAAUAGCUGGAACUACUAGUAGUGUCAGAAUGCCCAGCUCCCAGCCAAGGUCCAUAAUGGAAAACAACACCCAGACAAUGAGCUUAGCUGGUCACUGGAUUAGUCUGUUCAGGCCACCAUAACAGCAUAACACAGACUGAGCGUCUUAAUGGGAAUAUUUUCUCACUCUUCUGAAUACUGGAAAUCCAAGAUCAAAGUGUCCCAAGGUUGGUUUCUUCUGAAGCAUUUCCUUGACAUCUAGAUGGCCAUCUUUUCUAUCUUCACAAGAUCAUCCUGUGUGUAUAAGGACAACAAUUACAGAGUGGGUUAAGGGCCUAUCCUAAUGAUUUUAUUUUAACUUAAAUACCUCUAUAAAGAUCUUAUAUCCAGCCAGGCAUGAUGGUGCACACUUGUAAUCCUAGCAUUGGGGAGGCUGAGGCAGGAGGGUCACUAUGAGUUUGAGGACAGACUGGGCUACAUAAUGAGUUCAAGGCCAGCUGGAACUGCAUAGCAAGACCCUGUCUCAAUCCCACACCCAACCCCCCCAAAAAGUCUGAAGUACCAGGCAUUAGGACUUCAAUAUAUGACUGUGGGGAGAAGUUCAGUUCAUUAAUAGUAAUUAGGCAGAUUGAUGAGUUUUUUCAGUUGGCACCACCAGACUGUUAAGGACAAUUAAGAUUCUAUUGGGUCCAGAGAUAGCUUUUGGGAAACUCUUCAUCCACUGGCCAAUAAAUUCUCAGGCCAAGGAAAAUGACUUGCAGCUAAAACAGAAAAAGAGAAUUUAUGACCAUGUGGGCCUGGCUGUGACACCAGCGGUUCCCCAAGAGGAGAUUCUCUAUCAGCCCACGUGUGGGCUACACAUUUACAGAUUCUGAUUAACCCUAGAGUUCAUCAUGAACAGUCAGGGAUGGAGACAGGAUACCUUGACCAAUUUCCCAGGCCUGUGUUUCUCUGCUCUUCACACCACUCUCUCGGCCCAAAGCCAGGGCACCCUGGUGUAAAUCCAAGCCUGAGCAGGGCAGAACAUGACAAAGUAAGAUGUCAAAGAGAUGAGAGGUCCAACUUGAGCAGUGAAACAGAAAAAUAAGGCGAAUUCCUCCUUUCUGUCUUUUGUUCUAUUCAGGCCUCUACACCUAGCUGAGGCAGUAGUUUUUUUUAUUGAAAUACUGUUGUCAUCUACGAAAACCCUCUGCUGUAGCAGGGAAAUGCUUUGAAUGUGUUCCCCAAGGGUUCAGGAUCUUGCUUAAUAAUAUUUUCUGGUAAUUAGGGCAGCAGUUUGUUCUUCUGUAUACCUCCUACCAUCAUCACUUGGAGUCUCGAGUGCAAUACGUCUACCCAAUCUUGGGUGAAAUCUCCAAAAACUAUGAGCAAAUAAAAAGGAGGUAUAGCAACUGAUAUAUCUGCUAAGUAACAUGGUAUCCUUUGACAGCUGGGAAACAGAAGGAAGACCUGAGGUUCAUCAUGGCACCAUGUCAUUUAUGGGGAGACCCAGUGGGGACACAGACCUCUGUCGUGUCACCGUUCAUGGAAAACACCAUAUGAUAGCCACGAGAAAGGAUGAAGUCAAGUCACAGUAUGUCGUGAUACCACGUCUAACAUCAUACAGUGACCCAGAGGAGAAUAGAGAACUAAGUUGUGUCUUAUUGCAUCACUGUUGUAUAGCAUCCCUUCAGAAAGCCAGCAGCAGGAAAGCAGGAGUACGAUUCAGUGGCAUUAAGUACAGAGAAUCUUGAAAGCAGCAAGAGCAAAGUGACUCAUCACAUAUGAGGAGGCUCCUACAAGAUUAUCAUUGGAUAUCUCAGCAGGAAGCUUGAAGUCCACAAAGCACUGGGAUAAUAGCACUUAAUGUGAAAAAAAAAAAAAAAAACCACCACCAAUCAAGCCUAGCAAAACUGUUCUUCAGAAGUGGAGAAAUGAAGACAUUCCCAGGUAAACAAAAGCUGAAGAAACUUAUUGCUAUUAGACCUGAUUAACAAGAAAUACUAAAGGGUUCGGUGUGCAUAUUGCUGCCAGGUGCCACUGAAAAGAAAGGCAGGCUUGUAAAAACAUUAUUGUGUGUUCUUAUCUACUUUAUUCACUGGAUAUGGCACCAUGUAACUUCCAGCUCUUCUUCAAAGUCAAAAUGAACAUGAAAGGUAAAAGGUCGACUUGAUUCAGGACAUUGAGGCAGCCACAACAGCUGCAGAUACUUAUGAAAGAGAAGUGGCAAAAAUAAUGGGAUAUGAGGCCAGGGGUUUAGCUUAGUGGCGUAAGCACCUGCCUGAGGUCGUGAGUUUGACCCCCAGUACCAAAAAAAAAAAAAAAAAAAAAAGAAUAAUAGAGUAAAGGACACUCAAAGUGAGGUGUAUUUUGAGGGGAACUAAUGGCAAUGCGUCUUUUACUAUAAUAAAAUGUUUUAAUUUAAGCAUUCACUAUAGUUUGUUUUUUUGUUUUUUUUUUUUUUUUUGUCUUUUUCUUUUUUGUCAGUACCAGGGAUUGAACUCACGACCACACACUUGCAAGGCAGGCGCUUAUGCCACUGAGCUAAAUCCCCAGCCCUACAUUCACUACAGUUUUAAAACAGAUAUAUUUUUAUGAAAUAUUUGGUCCAGCUGUUAAGAUUGCACCUUCUACAGAGAACUAUGUGGCCAUAGGCGGUGCCCAUGGGUGGCGUGCAGAGUGCUGGGGACACGCACUGGUAAGUCAGUGGUGGCUUCAACCUAGUCAUCAUGCAGGGCUCAUCAGCAGACCUCUUGGGGGAGACCCUGAGCAGUCAGCAGGAUCUGCGGUUAGCUGAGAGCUGAGUGUCGGUUGCUAGAUUCUCUGGCCCUUUGCAGCUGCUCCUGGCUAUCUCAGAUAUUCACUGUGCUGAUUCCUUCCAUAUUACAUGUAGGUGGAGACAGAAAUGGGCUUCCUGGACAACAUUCUACAAGGCUGAGAAACCUGAGCCCAACAUUCUACAAGGCUGAGAAACCCAUGUCCCUCUCAGCUUCCCCACGGGAGAGAUCUUGGGCCAGGAGCAUCUCUUAGCAUCAAGCUGUGCCACCCUUAGGGCGUGGUGGUGCAGGGAAAGUGAACCUGCUCAUUUUACCUUAUCAGUACACCUGACCCUUGGAUUUUUGUUUUCAUUUUUGUUCUAAUAGGAGACUAGAACCUCCUAGAUGGUCUUUGUGGCUUCUGCAAAGUUAUUAUCAUCCAUGGGUGGUUAGAAUUUCUAUUCUGUCAUCUUACUCAUCCUAAUUACUUUAAGAGUAAGUGAAUUAAAAUAUCCAAUUAAAAGAGAUUCAUAGAAUGGAAAUAAACAUAAUCCCACCACAUGCCAUCUACAAGAGAGUAAUCUUUACAAGAGAUUAAUUUUUUUCAAGGGAUUAAUUUUAAAUGCAGACACAAGUAGUUUGAAAGUGAAAGGGUAGAAAAACAUAUUUCACGCAAACUAACCAAAACAGAGAUGUCACUAUACUAAUGUCAAAUGAAAUGGACCUUAAAUUAAAAAAAAAUUAAGAGAAAAAGACAUGUGUGUGAAUAAAAGCUUUACUACCACAAGAAAAUAUAAAAUUAUAAAUAUUUAGGCAUGUAAUCAUACCAUGUUACUAGCAAGAAACAAGAGACCUGAAGGAAGAAACCCUUAAUUCUACAAUAAUGGUUGGAGGCCUUCAUAUCCCACUUUCAAUAAUGAAUAUUUAGGGAGACAAAAACAAGAAGUCAACAAGAAACAAGCCCUCCCUGUGAACCAGGGCCAUGCAUGGAUCGGCACUGCUGGGGGCGGGGCAGCCAGGCCCCAGCCCUUUGAGCCAGCUCCUCCCAACCCAGCCCUAAGCAACCGGCUGAUCUGGAGAAACACAGGUUGCAAUGAUAGCUAUUGAGGUGAAAUAAAAUUUGAUACUUAUGGUGUUUGAUGUUUCACUGACUUUGCAGGUGUAGGGCUGGUGGUCUGAUCACCUGUUCGGAGGAUCAUGGUACUCAGCAUGGCAUCUAUGGGGGAUCUCCUUAUGAGGCUGAUAACCAUUGUUAAUUCCUUAUUGUCUUGUUUUGAAGUCCUGUAUCAUUUUCAUUGUUUUGUUGGGUUGGGUUUUAUUCUGUUUUGUUUUGUUUGAUUUUGUUAUAUCUGAUGGCAUGGGCAGCUAUUUCAAGGAUGGUAAGAUAUAUUAUGGUAGCCAUUUUGGAUUUACUAUUGUCCUCUUUUGAGGUCCUUUAUUGCAUGCAUUGUUUCAUUUUUAUUGGUUCUAUUCUGUUCUGUUUUGUUUGAUUUUUUACUGUCUGAGGAUAUAUAUGGCGAUUUUUAAGACAACAAGAGGCAUUAUGGUAACCAUUGUUGAUUUCGUAUUGUUUUGAAGUCCUGUGUCACACUGGUUUGUUUUGAUUAGCUUUGUUCUGUUUUGUUUUGCUUGGUUUUCUUCUCUUCGAAAUAAAAAAGGGUACUUAUACACAUUGGAGUACUACUCUGCUAUAAAUAAGGAUAAACUUGAGUCAUUUGUAGGAAAAUAGAUGAACCUUGUGACCAUAAUGUUAAAUGAAAUAAAUCAGACACACAAGCUUAAAAA
Molecule: long non-coding RNA, 5402 nt
Organism: Cavia porcellus (domestic guinea pig)
Lineage: Eukaryota; Metazoa; Chordata; Mammalia; Rodentia; Caviidae
Exons: 3
Source: RefSeq, a predicted model, not a curated record